AAUUUUGGACAAUGGGGGAAACCCUGCUCCAGCCAUCCCGCGUGUAUGAUGAAGGCCUUCGGGUUGUAAUGUACCUUUGGCAGAGAAGAAAAGGUAUCCUCUAAUACUGGAUACUGCUGACGGUAUCUGCAGAAUAAGCACCGGCUCACUACGUGCCAGCAGCCGCGGUAAUACGUAGGGCGCAAGCGUUAAUCGGAAUUACUGGGCGUAAAACGUGUGUAGGCGGUUCGGAAAGAAAGAUGUGAAAUCACAGGGCUGAACAUUGGAACUACAUUUUUAACUGCCGAGCUAGAGUAUGUCAGAAGAGGGUAGAAUUCCACGUGUAGCAGUGAAAAGCGUAGAUAUGUGGAGGAAGACCGAUGGCGAAGGCAGCACCCUGGGAUAAUACUGACGCUCAGACACGAAAGCGUGGGGAGCAAACAGG
Molecule: ribosomal RNA, 424 nt
Filed under: uncultured bacterium
Lineage: Bacteria
Description: partial 16S ribosomal RNA
Rfam family: Bacterial small subunit ribosomal RNA
Source: RNAcentral